This 656-nucleotide unclassified non-coding RNA is filed under the name Hevea brasiliensis (rubber tree). Lineage: Eukaryota; Viridiplantae; Streptophyta; Magnoliopsida; Malpighiales; Euphorbiaceae. The record is from RNAcentral.
GUUCACCUCUUUUCAAUUAGAUAUUUGAUAACCAUGAUUGCAAAUAACAGGGUUUUGUUAUUAAUCAAGCAACAAGUUGCCUUCUAUAUUGCAUUUGUUGAAUUCCAUUAACUGUUUAACUUUGUUCUGCAGCCAUUUGCAAUGAGUUUUACAUUAUCAUGUUAAAUUAUACCUCUGAAUUUAAAGAAUUGAUGAAUUUCAAUGCACUUGAUUGAGGGAAAUGAUGGAUUAAUCUUCCCUUAUUUAGUUGGUGAAGGAUAGGCAGGCAGCACUCAUGUAUAUCAAUCAUAUUUUCUUAUUGUUAACCUAAUCCAGAGCAGAUUUUCCCAGUUGGUCUUCUUUGGUCUGAAUGUAGCUUUAAAACCAUAUAGGUCCACUGGCUGAGUUUUAACUUCCACACUAGCCUCCUGGAAGAGAAAUUUGAUGUAUAAAAAUCUAGCUGCGAAACUUUGAGAAUUUCAUUCCUCAUUAAGCAAUAGACUUUUAUUUGUUAAUUUUGUUUUUUCCAUCAAAUGGCAUUAAUGACCUUUUUCCUUUAUUGUUAAUAAGAUCAAAGCCUUGACUUCUACCACUCAGGUGGCGGUCUUAUCAUUGAUGUCAGACAUCAUUGGCAAAUGGCAAUGAAUUGCAUAGUUCCUUUGAAUCUUGAAAGACAG